CUCCCUCCAUCAGAUGGGCGCCCUCCUCCUCUCCUUUUACCAUGGCAGCAGUUCCAACUCCCUCUCCUUCCCCUCCAUCAAAACCGAAGGAAAAACGUGUCUGCAGUUCUGUUUUGCCACUGCACAUCUCUUUUCGUUGCCGGAUUCCUGGAAUUCUUUGCAUGGUGUUGCGGUAAGGAUCAUGGACUUAUCUAUUCUUUACUGAGAAACACAUGUUCAUCAUGUCCCCUCUCUGUUGUGAUGUUUUAAGGAAAAUCAUGGUGAUGUAGUGUGCCAUGGAGAUCACUCCGGUGUGUGUGUCGCCAUCUCUCUGAACCUGCAGUGGAAUCCUAUCAACCACCAUUACCGCUGCUUCUGUACAUGACAUGAUCAUCUCUGAAGUGAAAUUGGCGCCAUCUCAUUGAUCACCAACUGUUUGCUGUCCAUCAUUGGUGUUAGACACCAUUGAGGUCUUGUCCAGCAACCAUGAACCUCGAUCGGUGCUGUUGGCGAUCAGCGUUCAUGAUCUCCAUGGAUCCAAUAAGCUCUAUGAUGAAUCCUUUGACUAUAAGAUCACUUAUAUAUUUACACACAUCUCUGCAAAAUUUCAUAGCAAGAGACUUCAAGAUGAAAGAUAUAUCAUCGUCUUUUUAGUGUUUGCUGUCCCUGCUGUUUCAGCAGGCGUUUGCCUCUAUUUGGUACUGUUGUUUCCCAUAAUACAUUAGUCAAAUCAUCAAACCCUUCAUACAGCAUGUGUCUGUAAUUGUUGCACAUGCCUCUGCAAAGUUUCAUGUCUAUAGGAUCAAAUAUGCAAGAGAUA
Sorghum bicolor (sorghum) is the source of this 799-nucleotide long non-coding RNA. RefSeq lists it as uncharacterized. The record is from RefSeq and is a predicted model, not a curated record. The transcript has 3 exons. NCBI's taxonomy places the organism in Eukaryota, Viridiplantae, Streptophyta, Magnoliopsida, Poales, Poaceae.